AUACGUAGGGGGCGAGCGUUGUCCGGAAUGAUUGGGCGUAAAGGGCGCGUAGGCGGCUUUGCAAGUCAGUAGUGGAAGUCCAUUUUUCAAGGAUGGAAGUGCUACAGAAACUGCGGAGCUUGAGUGCAGGAGAGGUUAUCGGAAUUCCCGGUGUAGCGGUGAAAUGCGUAGAGAUCGGGAGGAACACCAGUGGCGAAGGCGGGUAACUGGACUGCAACUGACGCUGAGGCGCGAAAGUGUGGGGAGCAAACAGGAUUAGAUACCCUGGUUGUCCACACUGUAAACGAUGAAUGCUAGGUGUAGGAGGUAUCGACCCCUUCUGUGCCGCAGUAAACACAGUAAGCAUUCCGCCUGGGGAGUACGGUCGCAAGAUUAAAACUCAAAGGAAUUGACGGGG
RNAcentral lists this ribosomal RNA (397 nucleotides) under uncultured bacterium. RNAcentral describes it as "partial 16S ribosomal RNA". It matches the Rfam family "Bacterial small subunit ribosomal RNA", at positions 523 to 918 of the family's 1533-position model. The record is from RNAcentral.